Phanerochaete sordida is the source of this 69-nucleotide non-coding RNA. The record is from the annotation of a GenBank genome assembly. NCBI's taxonomy places the organism in Eukaryota, Fungi, Basidiomycota, Agaricomycetes, Polyporales, Phanerochaetaceae.
GAUGGCGGAGUGGUAAGAACGUACCGUUGGCAAUGCCGGAGGUUCCUGGUUCGAUCCCCGGUUGCGGCA